CAAGGAGAGAGCGCUGGCGCUUAAUGGGUUAACUGGCCUAUCAGCCCAUGUGUCUAGCGAACCCAUUGAGUGGCGAUGCACCCUACUUUAGUGUUUUACUCUGUCUAACGCCAGAGUAUUACGCCAGAGUAUUUUACUCUGUCUAACGCCAGACAAUUUUACUCGUCAAGGGGAGAGCGCUGGCGCUUAAUGGGUUAACUGGCCUAUCAGCUGAUGUGUCUAGCGAACCCAGUGAGUGGCGAUGCACCCUACUUUAGUAUUUUACUCUGUCUAACGGCAGACGAUUUUACUC
Paramuricea clavata is the source of this 292-nucleotide non-coding RNA. The record is from the annotation of a GenBank genome assembly. NCBI's taxonomy places the organism in Eukaryota, Metazoa, Cnidaria, Anthozoa, Malacalcyonacea, Plexauridae.